This 253-nucleotide ribosomal RNA is filed under the name uncultured bacterium. RNAcentral describes it as "partial 16S ribosomal RNA". It matches the Rfam family "Bacterial small subunit ribosomal RNA", at positions 524 to 776 of the family's 1533-position model. The record is from RNAcentral.
UACGGAGGGUGCAAGCGUUGUUCGGAAUUACUGGGCGUAAAGCGCACGUAGGCGGGUCUGUAUGUCGAUUGUGAAAUCCCCGGGCUUAACCCGGGAAUUGCAGUCGAAACUGCAGAUCUUGAAUGUUUGAGAGGAUGGCGGAAUUCCUGGUGUAGUAGUGAAAUACGUAGAUAUCAGGAAGAACACCAGAGGCGAAGGCGGCUAUCUGGCAAUACAUUGACGCUGAGGUGCGAAAGCGUGGGGAGCAAACAGG